AGCCCACGCCCGAAUGCGAAAGCAUUUGCCAAGAAUGUCUUCAUUAAUCAAGAACGAAAGUCAGAGGUUCGAAGGCGAUCAGAUACCGCCCUAGUUCUGACCGUAAACGAUACCAACUAGCGUUCCGUGGCGGUAAAUACGCCUUGGCGGGCAGCUUCCCGGAAACGAAAGUGUUUCGGUUCCGGGGGAAGUAUGGUUGCAAAGCUGAAACUUAAAGAAAUUGACGGAAGGGCACCACCAUGAGUGGAGCCUGCACCUUAAUUUGACUCAACACGGGAAAACUCACCUGGCCCGGACACCGUGAGGAUUGACAGAUUGACAGCUUUUUCUUGAUUCGGUGGUUGGUGGUGCAUGGCCGUUCUUAGUUGGUGGAGUGAUUUGUCUGGUUUAUUCCGAUAACGAGCGAGACUCUAGCCUAUUAAAUAGUCAACGAAUAAUCUAGUUCGUGUCGACUUCUUAGAGGGACAAGCGGUGUUCAGCCGCAUGAAGUUGAGCAAUAACAGGUCUGUGAUGCCCUUAGAUGUCCAGG
Molecule: ribosomal RNA, 529 nt
Filed under: Procamallanus laeviconchus
Lineage: Eukaryota; Metazoa; Nematoda; Chromadorea; Rhabditida; Camallanidae
Description: SSU rRNA
Rfam family: Eukaryotic small subunit ribosomal RNA
Source: RNAcentral